RNAcentral lists this ribosomal RNA (445 nucleotides) under soil bacterium 9V-06. Its description in RNAcentral is "bacterial SSU rRNA". It matches the Rfam family "Bacterial small subunit ribosomal RNA", at positions 24 to 483 of the family's 1533-position model. The record is from RNAcentral.
UCAGGAUGAACGCUGGCGGCGUGCUUAACACAUGCAAGUCGAACGGUGAAGCCAAGCUUGCUUGGUGGAUCAGUGGCGAACGGGUGAGUAACACGUGAGCAACCUGCCCUGGACUCUGGGAUAAGCGCUGGAAACGGUGUCUAAUACUGGAUAUGAGCUCUCACUGCAUGGUGGGGGUUGGAAAGAUUUUUCGGUCUGGGAUGGGCUCGCGGCCUAUCAGCUUGUUGGUGAGGUAAUGGCUCACCAAGGCGUCGACGGGUAGCCGGCCUGAGAGGGUGACCGGCCACACUGGGACUGAGACACGGCCCAGACUCCUACGGGAGGCAGCAGUGGGGAAUAUUGCACAAUGGGCGGAAGCCUGAUGCAGCAACGCCGCGUGAGGGAUGACGGCCUUCGGGUUGUAAACCUCUUUUAGCAAGGAAGAAGCGAAAGUGACGGUACUGCA